UACAUAUCGCCUUGCUUCGGUCCGGGCGGCUUUUUCCGUCCGGUGAAAAGGGAACACGGUGCGGCGCCGUUACCGGUGCCAAUUCCGCGACUGCCCCCGCAACUGUAGGCGGCGAGCGAAGCCGGACCAAUGUCAUUGCCUUGGCCUGCAUCACGGCGAGACGAUCCGGCCAAGCCAUGACCCGCAAGUCAGGAGACCUGCCGAAGUGAUCACCCUGUC
Molecule: non-coding RNA, 219 nt
Filed under: Roseovarius pacificus
Lineage: Bacteria; Pseudomonadati; Pseudomonadota; Alphaproteobacteria; Rhodobacterales; Roseobacteraceae
Source: RNAcentral